Molecule: small nuclear RNA, 146 nt
Filed under: Helianthus annuus (common sunflower)
Lineage: Eukaryota; Viridiplantae; Streptophyta; Magnoliopsida; Asterales; Asteraceae
Description: U1 spliceosomal RNA
Rfam family: U1 spliceosomal RNA
About the family: U1 is a small nuclear RNA (snRNA) component of the spliceosome (involved in pre-mRNA splicing). Its 5' end forms complementary base pairs with the 5' splice junction, thus defining the 5' donor site of an intron.
Source: RNAcentral
UCACUUACCUGGACGGGGUCAAUGUCCAUGGCCUAGGUUGGUGACCUCCAUUGCACUCAGGAGGGGUGCCCGCUAAGGUCGGCCCAAGUGGUUGAGCCUACGUCAUAAUUUGUGGUAGUGGAGGCCUGCGUUCGCGCGACCUCUGC